RNAcentral lists this long non-coding RNA (992 nucleotides) under Homo sapiens (human). RNAcentral's name for it is "ZBTB44 divergent transcript (ZBTB44-DT)". Lineage: Eukaryota; Metazoa; Chordata; Mammalia; Primates; Hominidae. The record is from RNAcentral.
GGGCGGGGAAGGAAACGUGAUGAUUGCGCAAGCGCAGAAAAUGGGCCCUCUUGGCCGUCGGGACUUGUACUGUUGGUGACUCCGUCUCCUUAGACGGUGGAGCCUGCGUGACCCAGAAAGGCCAUGGUGAGCUCCUUAGAGGGAAGUAUAGUACAUAUUUCCUCCAUGUCUCCAGUACCCAACACAGUGCCUGACGUUGAGAGGGCUCUUAAUAAGUGUUUGUGAAAGACUGGUAGAGCAAUGCCCUAUGAAACAAGAAGCUGGAUAACACUGCUUAGGACUCAGAGGAGAGAGGAGUGUGGUCUACACUGCACAUCUCUGCCAAGCCUGGCACGGGAUUUGAAGUUCCACACCACUGAGCCAAACACAUCCAGACCCUCUUCCAACCCGGGGAUCUGGUGGUAAGCAAAAUACUAUUCCAGCAAGUGAUGCCCCCAGUCUCCUAAGGAUAUAAGCAAAAGGAUAAAGCCUCGCCAUGAGCACAGCUGUGUGCUGAGUCCCAGGAGCCCUUCCAGAGAACCUUCAAACAUGAGAAACAGGAAGUUGUGUUUGGCUGCGGACAAACUCUCUCAGUGCCCCUGGGACUUACAAGAUGUUUGGAAUGAGGAACGAUCUGGUUUCUGAGUCCCUGGGCUGCAGCUGUUGAAUUUCCAGACACAAACAAGUAUGCGUUCUGAGAGCCUCGCCGAGCCCACACAACCGGGAGAGCCAAGCUGGAUUCCAUUCUGCUUUGCACAUCAGCAGCUCUGCUGCCAGCUGAACUCCAGGGCAAAAGCUGUGCCUGGUAAUGAUGCAGGCAGCAGGGAUGGCACAGCUGGCCUGGCUUAGGCCGUUAAGGGGGACACGCUUGGCCUUAUUUGGGGGAGAGCGAGAAAUGGAAGGCGAUGAAGAGUUGCGGAAGCAUACAUCAGCCUCCACAAAACUGGUGCACAGCAGGGAAACAAUCUGGUUUUGCUAGUCAUCAACAAAAAAAAAAAAAAAAAAAAAAAAAA